RNAcentral lists this ribosomal RNA (253 nucleotides) under uncultured bacterium. Its description in RNAcentral is "partial 16S ribosomal RNA". It matches the Rfam family "Bacterial small subunit ribosomal RNA", at positions 524 to 776 of the family's 1533-position model. The record is from RNAcentral.
UACAGAGGUCCCGAGCGUUGUUCGGAUUCACUGGGCGUAAAGGGUGCGUAGGUGGUGAGGCAAGUCGGAUGUGAAAUCUCCAAGCUCAACUUGGAAAUGGCAUUGGAAACUACCUUGCUGGAGGUUUGGAGGGGGGACUGGAAUACUUGGUGUAGCAGUGAAAUGCGUAGAUAUCAAGUGGAACACCAGUGGCGAAGGCGAGUCCCUGGACAACACCUGACACUGAGGCACGAAAGCUAGGGGAGCAAACAGG